CAGCACAAUGUGAGAAAUUAUUGUUACAAUUCAGCCAUUAAGAAAAGAAAACAUAUUUUAGGGUGUAUCUGAUUCAUGUUUCCAAUCCCAGCUUUGAUUUACAAAUUUCCUUUGUCUGGCACAGCCAGAGAGCUAGGGGCACCUCCCAGCUCUUCUCUGGCACAGCUGUCAUCUGAGGUCUCCUCGGUACAUUACAUGGAUGUGAAUAAACUAAUGAAUUCUAACAUGUACUUUCUCCUCCAGCACAACGUGAGAAUUAGCCAUCCUUGUCUUGUUUAACAUCUUAGGAGGAAGCCUCAGUCUUUCAUGACUAAUUCUGACAUUAGCUCUAGGUUUUUUAACAUGUCCAUUAAGAGGUGGAGGACAUUCCCUUCUUUCUAUUUCUUGUUUGCUGUUAGUUUUUAUCAUGAAUAGGUAUCAGAUUUUGUUGAUGACUUUUUUCCACGUCUAUUGAUUCAUUGAUUUUCAGGUAUUAAACCAAUCUCGCAUUUCUGGGAUAGACUCUAAUUGAUGUUAGUUUGUAAUCCUUCUUAUAUGCUGUUGGAUUUGGUUUGCUAAUUUUUUUUUUUUUUUUUUUGGUUUGCAAAUAUUGUUAGGGGUUUUUGCCUCUAUGUUCGUCAGAGAUAUUGGUGUAAGGUUUUCUUGGAAUGUUUAAUCUGGCUUUGGUAUCAGGGUGAUCCUGGGCUCAUAUAAUGAAUUGGGGAGGAUUACCUACUGUUUGUUUUCCUGAAAAAGUUGUGUAUAAUUGGUAUUAUUUUCUUCUUUAAAUGUUUGAUAAAUUUGACCAAUGAAGUCAUGGGGACAGGGCUUUUCUUUGUGGGAAGAUUUUAAAUCACGAAUUAAAUUUCUUUACUUGUUACAGGUCUAUUGGGAGUUUCCAUUUCUUCUUGUCAGUUUUGGUUGUCUGAUCUUUCCAGGCCUUUUUGCAUUUCAUCUUUAUUGGCAUACGUUUGCUCAUGGCAUUCCCUCAGCACCGGGUGGUGAUACCCCCUCUCAUCACCGGCCUGACUGCGCCUCCUCUCCCUUCUUGGUCAGCCUGUCUCAGGAUCUCUCAUCCAGGCACCAGCAACAUUUUGGCUCAAUAAUCCUGUCUUUGAGAGUUCCACGGUGCAUUGUGAACUGUGGCUGACAUGCCAGAUGGGUUUAGGGUCAACGGCUGUGGAGGAAAGGAGAGGAAUCAGGGCUGCACGGAGGGAGAAGUGAAUCGCAGUGUGGUCAGGCCAGCUGAGCCUCGGCCAGGCUCUGGAGGAAGGCGGCGGCUGUCAGAGAGUUCCCUGGACGCUGCUCAGCCUUCCCCUCCCACCUUGUUCAUCCCUGGACGGCAGAUGCGGCUCAGCUCCUCCUCCCUUGGGGCCUCAGACUGGACCCCUUUUCCUGCUGCUUGGCAGCAAAGGCUUUCUGGGGUGGCACUUCUGUGUUCACCCCAUGAAGGCACCUUCUCUCUGAAGCUUACACACAAGGAAGACUGGUUUGGGCCAUGAAACAUGCAGUGUGACAGUGACGAGCCGAGGGUCCCACGGAUUCCUGGCUCCCAUGGAGCCGUCCGUGUUCUAGCACGCUUCUGGGGGAGCACACUCCCUGCUGGCUCCCAUGGAGCCGUGUUCUAGCACGCUUCUGGGGGAGCGCACUCCCUGCUGGGCAACAAGGAGCCAGCUGCACAAUCUCCCCUUCCUGAAGAUGCACUGGACACAAAUAACCUCAUUUUCUACUCUUUCCACACCUGUAAGGCUGAGGCUGCAUCUCAGCUGGAAAAUUAACACUUGAAUUCUAAAUAAUAAUAAUUAUUGUUUCUGGUUAUUUUGAAUCCACUGACAAAGACCUUUACAAAAUAAUUGCACUGAUCAAUCCCAUAUGAGGCGCAGGGGAAGUUUCUUGAGCUGGCGUAUGAGGAGAACAUGAGGGGAAUUCUGCAAUGGUGUUCUGUUUAGUAAGUAUAAUUGCAAAGAGUGUAUCAUGUUAAAAUGCCUGACGUAGUGUCUUAUAAUAACACAUGGUUUCCAUCAAGAAGCAGAUGUUUCUCAGCCUCCCUUAAAAUAAACCAUCAUAAUUUAACCACACCCACAGGCUCCACUGCAGAGUGAGAGCAAAGGCGUGCACUGCACGUUCCAGAUCGGUCUAAUUGCAGCCUGAAAGCACUUUUUAGGGAGAAGUGCCCCUAAAAAGAAACAACUUAUUAGAGUAUCAGAUAAAGGCGUCCUGGAAGAAUUGUGUUCAGUAGCAACUAUAGCUGUGGCUCGCAGAAAAGCACAAAUGAAGCAAUUUCUGUCCUGAAGACUUGUGGCCCCUGGAUGUUCCUAACUUCAUGUUUCUAGGACCAAGUAAAAAAGACACACUCACUAUGCUUCAGAUGCUUUAAUUUCACCAUAGGAAGGCGUACACAAUGUUUUUCUGCUCAUAUAGUGAAACCCUUCACAAAAGUUCUCUUUAAAAUGGAGAUAUAACUCGUACCAUAUAAUUCAUGCUUUUAAAAUGUCCAAUCCCGGGGUUUUGAGUAUAUUUACAAAGUUGUGCAGCCAUCACCACUGUGCAAUUCCGGCGGGUUUCCAUCACCAAAAGGAAACCUCGACCUCUGGAUCAGAAACUUGCUUCUCGGUGUAAUGGAAGCAGGCGGCCACUAGAUGGGGACAUCUCUCCACCGCCUUGCAGGUGGGACCUGCACCCCAAGGAGCGGGAUGGAGAAACUCCAGCCCCGUGGGGCCUGCAGGCCUCUGGGCACAAGCCUUGCCCGUCGUUUCUCUCAAGACAGUUUCCCCAAAUGUCCUAAGCCUAGUCCUGUCUGUGCAUGAGAGGCUUUUUAGGCAGCAUGUGCACAGACGUUCCUUAUUUUGCUAGUUACUUGUUUCUUAUAUAUUAUAAUAUAUUAAUUUGAAUGUGUUACAGAGAAUCACUGGCGCAUUAGUCCAUGAGGUCACUCGUUUUAUGUAGAAUGAGCCUAGGUUAAAAAACAAAAUUACAUUUAACAUUAAUUCAAGAAACAAGUGACCGUAGGUGUGGACGUGGUCAAGUCCUGGGUGGGGGGGGUGCCACAGCUCUGAACUCCGGACAGUGCAGGAAGAAUGCCUCUGGGAGGAUAAAGUAAAAAUCCCUUGACUUUCACGAGAAUGGGAAAGCCUACUUCCAGGGACAGAUCUGUGCUCCACGCUGCCUGGGAAUCGUCCAUCUGCCAAUUGGGGAUGACUCCCCUCCCCUCCAAGCAGGAGGCCUUUGAUUCAUCUGUGUGAUCAGCCUCAGGGAAGAACUCCUCAGUCCUCAGAUAAUGCAAUCAGGAAGCUGGCUCUUUAUGGAAUGAGCCACCCCGGCCGUGCUUGUAGCCCAGAGGCGAGAAUCCAGGCUGAGGGGCUGAGAGGGGUCUUGGGUGGCACAUGGCCAUUGAUGGGCCACAGCUUACAAUUUUGAAACCUGGAAAUCAGGGUUUUGGAAACAAACCUGAUAGUCAAUAGGUUGAGUAACUUGGUGUUUUGGGGCCUCUUUCUGCCCGGGACGCACCAGCUGGAAGGGGAGGCAGCGAGUUCACCUGCUGGGUGUCCCCCCACCACGGGGGCUUCGUGCCCCUCACCACGGGGGCUUCGUGUCCCCCAUGGGGGCUCCCCAAGCUGCCCUGGCCUCUGCAGUACCUCUGCCAGCCAAAAUUGCAGGCUUUGAAGGCCAUGCUCAGGGUAUGGUUUGAUUUUAGUGGCAGUCCUGGUAGGUAAGAGGCCUCCCCCCCAUUUUCUAGACGAGCGAAGUGACAUUCAAAGCAUUUAAGUAACUCUCUGGUUACUGGAGAGGUGGUCUGUGAGCUCUGGUUCUGUAACUCCACAGUUUCAUAUGUUACACUUUCUUUGAGUUAUUUUCAUUCGAGGAGGGUAAGGUGCUUGCUGGUAGACACACAUGCUCUUGGCCACCUUCGAGCGCGGUAACCACCCGCUUUGUCUUGGGGAGAAUGUGGAGUGAGGAAACCUGAGACACCCAGGGUUUCUCCGCCACACACCGUGUUGCAAUUUUGAGGAUGAGGGUGGAAAUUCAUGUACUAAUUGCCUUUAUGAGAACAAAUGAUGGCGUUGUGUAACGUUAUUGUAUAAAGGGAGUGUUAUUUCCUAUUAAGCAUCUGCUUGAGAUGCUUGGGGGAGAAUGUAAAAGUCAUUUAAGAAAUAUUUGUUGAGGAAAUAAAUGAAUGAGUAAAUUAGAUAAGAAUAGCACCUGGUCUCAAAGAAUCAUCAAGCUAAUAAGAUCUUCUAUCGAGCUUAUAAAUACCGAAGUUCUAAAAGAAGCUGGCAGGGCUCUGCUGCGUUUCAUUAUUUCCAGAUCCUCAACGACCGUCCACCUCUGCAUUCCCGUUGGCCUUUGAAGUUUCCACCAGCCCCAGAGGGGAAGAAAAAUAACAAUAAACAAUAAAAAAUUAUACAAACAAAA
Sapajus apella (tufted capuchin) is the source of this 4392-nucleotide long non-coding RNA. RefSeq lists it as uncharacterized. The transcript has 2 exons. The record is from RefSeq and is a predicted model, not a curated record. NCBI's taxonomy places the organism in Eukaryota, Metazoa, Chordata, Mammalia, Primates, Cebidae.